CUUGAGCGAGCCGAGCCACAACGGCCGGUCCGCCGUCCUGCCCUGCCCGUAGGUGGCCAGCAGCGCCUGCGCCUC
RNAcentral lists this antisense RNA (75 nucleotides) under Amycolatopsis sp. YIM 10. RNAcentral describes it as "ASpks TB sRNA". It matches the Rfam family "ASpks TB sRNA". The record is from Rfam by way of RNAcentral. Lineage: Bacteria; Bacillati; Actinomycetota; Actinomycetes; Pseudonocardiales; Pseudonocardiaceae.